CGAGUGGCGGACGGGUGAGUAACACGUAGGUAACCUGCCCAGAAGCGGGGGACAACAUUUGGAAACAGAUGCUAAUACCGCAUAACAACGUUGUUCGCAUGAACAACGCUUAAAAGAUGGCUUCUCGCUAUCACUUCUGGAUGGACCUGCGGUGCAUUAGCUUGUUGGUGGGGUAAUGGCCUACCAAGGCGAUGAUGCAUAGCCGAGUUGAGAGACUGAUCGGCCACAAUGGGACUGAGACACGGCCCAUACUCCUACGGGAGGCAGCAGUAGGGAAUCUUCCACAAUGGGCGCAAGCCUGAUGGAGCAACACCGCGUGAGUGAAGAAGGGUUUCGGCUCGUAAAGCUCUGUUGUUAAAGAAGAACACGUAUGAGAGUAACUGUUCAUACGUUGACGGUAUUUAACCAGAAAGUCACGGCUAACUACGUGCCAGCAGCCGCGGUAAUACGUAGGUGGCAAGCGUUAUCCGGAUUUAUUGGGCGUAAAGAGAGUGCAGGCGGUUUUCUAAGUCUGAUGUGAAAGCCUUCGGCUUAACCGGAGAAGUGCAUCGGAAACUGGAUAACUUGAGUGCAGAAGAGGGUAGUGGAACUCCAUGUGUAGCGGUGGAAUGCGUAGAUAUAUGGAAGAACACCAGUGGCGAAGGCGGCUACCUGGUCUGCAACUGACGCUGAGACUCGAAAGCAUGGGUAGCGAACAGGAUUAGAUACCCUGGUAGUCCAUGCCGUAAACGAUGAGUGCUAGGUGUUGGAGGGUUUCCGCCCUUCAGUGCCGGAGCUAACGCAUUAAGCACUCCGCCUGGGGAGUACGACCGCAAGGUUGAAACUCAAAGGAAUUGACGGGGGCCCGCACAAGCGGUGGAGCAUGUGGUUUAAUUCGAAGCUACGCGAAGAACCUUACCAGGUCUUGACAUCUUGCGCCAACCCUAGAGAUAGGGCGUUUCCUUCGGGAACGCAAUGACAGGUGGUGCAUGGUCGUCGUCAGCUCGUGUCGUGAGAUGUUGGGUUAAGUCCCGCAACGAGCGCAACCCUUGUUACUAGUUGCCAGCAUUAAGUUGGGCACUCUAGUGAGACUGCCGGUGACAAACCGGAGGAAGGUGGGGACGACGUCAGAUCAUCAUGCCCCUUAUGACCUGGGCUACACACGUGCUACAAUGGACGGUACAACGAGUCGCGAACUCGCGAGGGCAAGCAAAUCUCUUAAAACCGUUCUCAGUUCGGACUGCAGGCUGCAACUCGCCUGCACGAAGUCGGAAUCGCUAGUAAUCGCGGAUCAGCAUGCCGCGGUGAAUACGUUCCCG
Molecule: ribosomal RNA, 1298 nt
Filed under: Limosilactobacillus fermentum
Lineage: Bacteria; Bacillati; Bacillota; Bacilli; Lactobacillales; Lactobacillaceae
Description: bacterial SSU rRNA
Rfam family: Bacterial small subunit ribosomal RNA
Source: RNAcentral